RNAcentral lists this ribosomal RNA (499 nucleotides) under uncultured bacterium. RNAcentral's name for it is "partial 16S ribosomal RNA". It matches the Rfam family "Bacterial small subunit ribosomal RNA", at positions 30 to 523 of the family's 1533-position model. The record is from RNAcentral.
AUUGAACGCUGGCGGUAUGCUUAACACAUGCAAGUCGAACGAUGAGAAAGAGCUUGCUCUUUCGAUUAGUGGCGGACGGGUGCGUAACGCGUAGGAAUCUACCUAUUAGUGGGGGACAACUUAGGGAAACUUAAGCUAAUACCGCAUACGCGCUACGGGGGAAAGAAGGGGAUCGCAAGACCUUUUGCUAAUAGAUGAGCCUGCGUAGGAUUAGCUAGUUGGUGGGGGAAAAGCUCACCAAGGCGACGAUCCUUAACUGGUUUGAGAGAAUGAUCAGUCACACUGGAACUGAGACACGGUCCAGACUCCUACGGGAGGCAGCAGUGGGGAAUAUUGGACAAUGGGCGAAAGCCUGAUCCAGCAAUACCGCGUGUGUGAAGAAGGCCUUAGGGUUGUAAAGCACUUUCAAUUGGAAGGAAAACCUCGAAGCUAAUACCUUCGAGUUUGACAUUACCUUUAGAAGAAGCACCGGCUAACUCCGUGCCAGCCGCCGCAGUAA